CUUCCCCAUAGGGUCCUGAAACCACUGCUGGCUCCGUCGACCCCGACCACCCGCUGGUCCGAGUGGAGCCUCAGCCCUUCUUACCGCCCUGGUGACGGAGAGGAACCUGUCGUAGCUGAUGAGGACGAUGUUGAAGACCGAGGCGGUGCACAUCAGCUGUGUGGAAGAUGGUGUCAUUGACAAGAUGGGGCGCUCUGGAGGAGGACAGGUCUUCAGGGAUGCUCAAGUUCAAAUUGUACAGAAAGAACUCAAGGCUUUAGGGCUGAGCCUUGAGGAACACCAUCAUUUAAUGGUCCAGUAGAGGAGAGGAGAUCCUCCAGGUGACUGAGCACAAAAGUCCAGGUUGGCGGAGAGAAAUUCAGAGCUCAAGGUGCAACAGGAGUCAUCGAGGGAGGGCUUUAAGCACCUGGGAAAGGCCAAGAGGUCAAGUGCUGGUGGAUUCAGCAAGAUGAACUCACUGGGGAUCUUGUCUUUGGUUGAUGGACAUCUGGAUUGAUUCCAUAUCUUAGCUUUUGUGAAUUGAUCUGCAAUAAACACGAAGGUACAGCUCACUCUCUCAUAUGCUGAUUUCUUUAUGUUUGGGUAAAUGCCCAAGAAUGGGAUGGCUGGGUCAUAUGGUAGGUCUAUACUGAGAUUUCUGAGGUAUCUCCAUCCUGUCUUCCAUAGUGGCUGCACCAAUUUACAUUCCCACCAGCAGUGGAUUAGGGUACCUUUUCCCCACAUCCUUGCCACAUUUGUCGUUUGUUGAUUUUUGUAUGUCCUGCAUAGCUUUUUAAAAGUUUUAUUUGAAAGGCAAAGUGAGGGGGAGAGAGAGAGAGAGAGAGAGAGAGAGAGAGAAAUGUCUUCUAUCUACUGCUUUACUUCCUGAGUGCCAGCAACAGUUAGGGUUUUGCCAGGUCAUCCAGUCAAGGGACUGGAACUCCAUCAGAUUUUCCACACAGGCGGCCAUCAUCAAGUACCUGCUGCCUCCCCGGAUGCAUUUUAGCAGAAAGCUGAGGGGCCAGAACUUGACCCAGACUCUCCAAUACGGGAUGUGAGUGCCCCAAACCAGGACUUGGUGCAGCAAAUGCUGCCCUCUGAGAGCCAUCCUUUGAAAACCACUUUUCUCCCACUCCUGAUGAGCCUGUGUUCUGGGAUGGUAAUAGCAUCAAUCAAGAAUAACCUUGUAAUUUGUUAAUGCUACAAGAGUCAAUCUGGAAUAUUGUGGAAAUUAUUGGAAAAGAGCAAUUCUUGUUCCUUUUGUUGUUAUACUGGGAGUGCUUUCUGGGACCAUCCAUGAAGAGGAUUCAAAAGCUGACAUGGGAAGAAAGCUGAGCUGAGAGAAAGGAGAGAAGGAGGUAGAUGAGGUGCUGGUGACAUCACGUGAGCCCUGGAUGCAGCUGUGCUCCUGAAUGGUUCAGGCCUUCUGACCCGUGCUGGAACUUCAUCGUUAGCUCUCUUGGGGGCCCCUGCUUGCUGACCACAGAUCUGGGGACUGCUUAGCCUCCGCACUCACGUGAGCGAUUUCUUGUAUUAAGUCUCUCUUUUCCUUCCUCCCUACUCCCUCCCUCAAUCUCUUCUUGGUGCUGUUUCUCUGGAGAACCAUGACUGCUACAACAUCAUAGACAAAAUGGCAAGAUGCUCUCAGAGUUCUCCUGGGAUUCUACAGUUUGUCCUCUGGAGGUGCCUGUGCCUUUGGUCAUGGGGCAGCUGCUGACCUGUUCUCCCAGAUGCAGGCACAGACGCAGCUGCUUCUGUUUCCCUUUCUUUAGUGUGUGUCUCUGAGUCAGUUAUUUCCAGGCAGGGACUUGAAAUCGCAGGUGAAACUGCUUAGUGAUACAAAGAGGCGCUGCUUGGCGCGAUGCAGGCAAACAGGUGGAGAGGAAUACUUUUUUUGUUUGUUUUGUUUUGACAGGCAGAGUGGACAGUGAGAGAGAGAGAGACAGAGAGAAAGGUCUUCCUUUGCCGUUGGUUCACCCUCCAAUGGCCACCGUGGGCAGCGCGCUGCCGCCGGCGCACCGCGCUGAUCCGAAGGCAGGAGCCAGGUGCUUCUCCUGGUCUCCCAUGGGGUGCAGGGCCCAAGCACUUGGGCCAUCCUCUACUGCACUCCUGGGCCAUAGCAGAGAGCUGGCCUGGAAGAGGGGCAACCGGGACAGAAUCUGGCACCCUGACCGCGACUAGAACCCGGUGUGCCGGCACCGCAAGGCGGAGGAUUAGCCUAGUAAGCCGCGGCGCCGGCCGAGAGGAAUACUUUUGUGUCCUGAUCUUUCAGGGGCAUGACUUGGGUGAAGAAGCAGUUGGCGGACAAGAGGGGUUAGAGCAGAGGCACAGUCUUCCCAGGGCCCGCUGGCUGCUGCUGGCUUUUUCUGUCUCAUCCGUCUUCUCUGGCCUACACUGACUCUGGUGAAAUGACUUUGAUGUAGGGGAGCGGGUACUGAUCAAAGAGGAAUGGAGGACGGCCAGCACCUGUGGGCACAGUCCUGAACCCCAUUCCCUUCCAUGCAGACACAUUUGCCAGGGUUGUGCUGGCUGGGUGCCCGCAAUGAGAAUGAAAUGACCGUGACUGGCACACACACUGCCAUCGUGCUCCUGAACCCCUCUCCUGACCUGCACCUGCUGCUGUGACACUUCUGAGAUUUCCCCAAAAAGGGGCAAGGGAAUGGGUGAUAUUCGAGCUCUGUCCCGAACUCCGCCUCCUUUGAAUAUUUAAUGAAGCCCUGCACCAGACACCAUCUCUAUCCUAUAAAUAAAAUGAUGAUCCCAAACUUUGUUAAGAGCAACACUCUCUCACCCACUUUCUCUCCAGGUUGUCCACACUCCCUCUGCGGGUACACUUCCCUUUGUCUUUAAAGAAAUCUUGCUUCUCCAUGAAUUCAGUCUCAUGUGGAGGUGAGAACCUGGACCAAGCCUAGCCAGGGGCUUCCCCUGCAACAACAUCUUUCUCACCUCAUGUUGAUUUUGUCCCACCGGAGAGGACAGAGGUGGGACAGGAGGCAGGUACCAAGGUCGCAAGAAGAGGCAGGAGGAGAGGUGAGAGAAGUUUAGUUUGGCUUGGAUUCUCUCCGGGGCCUUGCUCCUCUAAUGCCCAAGCGACUGCCUCCUCACCUACAGGUGACCCGCUGGGUUUGCUGCAGUCCAGCUGUGGGGCCAAAACAAGACCCCUCAUUUGCCUCAGUCUUGUCUCUGAAAUGCAAAUCGAGGAUUUUGCGUGGUUUGAGGCCAUUCUACUUGGUGGCCAACAUGUGUGUCUUGAAGUCCUUAGGGAGGGGAGUUGUGUGUCAGCCCCGGAACUUCUAAAUGUGGGCCCUUAGUCAUACAGAACUUUUGUUUCUUCAUCUGUAAAGAAGGAUGACGUGUCACAUGGAUGCACAAUGAGUCACUUUGAGUAUUAAAAACAGACCAACUCCUGGCUCUCCUCUCCAGACACUCUGGUAACUGGUUUGAAGAAUGACGAUGGGAGUUUUUAAGUCACCGGAGAUGGUUCUAAACAGUAGCAAGAUAGUGGAGCCACUGUACUGGAGGUUGGCUGGGAGUGUGAGAACCUGUGCAAAGCAGGUGGUGUACUGGGACACGAACUGGCACCAUAUGGGAUGCCAGCGUCUCAGGCAGUGGCAUUACCAGCUCAGCCAAGACACCAGCCCUAACUCUAAAUUUCUUUAUUUGUUAACCUGGGUUAUCAGUGAUGUCUGCCUCAUAAGACCUCUAGAGGGUUUAAAUGAACUAAUGCUUGCAGAGUAUUAUAGUACCAGAUGGGAUGGUUUUUGUGGUAAGAUAAAUUUAACACAACAUUGACUAUUCUAGCCAUUUAAAAAUGCAUAGUUCAUUAGUAUUAAGUAUGCUCAUUUUGUUGCACAUUUACUUAAUAGAUUUUGUUUGA
This is a non-coding RNA of Oryctolagus cuniculus (rabbit), 3856 nucleotides long. Lineage: Eukaryota; Metazoa; Chordata; Mammalia; Lagomorpha; Leporidae. The record is from RefSeq and is a predicted model, not a curated record.